Molecule: non-coding RNA, 385 nt
Organism: Sporosarcina psychrophila
Lineage: Bacteria; Bacillati; Bacillota; Bacilli; Caryophanales; Caryophanaceae
Source: Rfam
GAAUUUAGGUAAUCGCUGCAACAUCCUAUGUUGUAGAGGAAAGUCCAUGCUCACACGGAUCUGAGAUGACCGUAGUGUUCGUGCUCGGCGAAAGAAUAAGCCGUGGCUUCGCGUAUAACGCGUUGACGGCGGGAAUAAAUCCUAAGUCUUCGGAUAUGGAUGAGGUUCCCUGAACAGUGCCACAGUGACGUAGCUGUCUCGGAAACGGGGCAGAUGGAACGCGGUAAACCCCACGAGUGAGAAACCCAAACUAUGGUAGGGGCACUCUUCCGAGGGAAAUGAACUGUAGGAAGAGACAGGUGUAUACCUGUAGAUAGAUGAUUACCACCCUAAGUACGAGGCGUGAGCCGUUUGAGUACACGGGAACAAAACAUGGCUUAUCGAA